GGCUGCGAGCGCUCAGCGGGAGAGCGUUCGCUUCACACGCGAGAGGUCCAUGACUAGAUCCCAAGUGCACCCACCA
Molecule: transfer RNA, 76 nt
Filed under: Bradyrhizobium diazoefficiens USDA 110
Lineage: Bacteria; Pseudomonadati; Pseudomonadota; Alphaproteobacteria; Hyphomicrobiales; Nitrobacteraceae
Also listed under: 1 other name
Description: tRNA-Val
Source: RNAcentral